Molecule: long non-coding RNA, 383 nt
Filed under: Glycine max (soybean)
Lineage: Eukaryota; Viridiplantae; Streptophyta; Magnoliopsida; Fabales; Fabaceae
Description: long non-coding RNA (GMAX_LNC004193)
Source: RNAcentral
GCAGUAUACGUUUUUCUUUUUCCAUUUUAUAUUUCCCUCACUUCCUCUCUCUAUCUCUUUCUCACUUCACUUUCUCUGUGUCCCGUUGGAACCAAACAGUUUCUCUCUCUUUCUCUGUCUUCUUUCACUCUUUCCCUUCGCUCCUUUCUCUGUCACACACACAGAGACGGAGACAAAGCGCCCACACACAAUUCCUCACUCUACAGUCUACACUUCAUUUUUUUCACUCUCAGAGAGUCUCUGGCAAAGAAAGCCUCUACCUUGUUGGUUUUCUUAUUCUUGUUUGAGAUUAACAUGACCACAUUCUUAACUAUCUUUUACUUCAUUUCAUGAAUCCCACCACCCAACCCCCACCGUCGUUGCCGCCCACCGCCGUUUCCGCC